Molecule: ribosomal RNA, 1654 nt
Filed under: Plectonchus hunti
Lineage: Eukaryota; Metazoa; Nematoda; Chromadorea; Rhabditida; Panagrolaimidae
Description: eukaryotic LSU rRNA
Rfam family: Eukaryotic large subunit ribosomal RNA
Source: RNAcentral
CCGAAUCAACUAGCCCUGAAAAUGGAUGGCGCUCUAGCGAGAGACCUAUACUUCGCCGUUACUGGCUUGCUCGAAACAGGCCGUAACGUGUAAGAGGGUCGCAGCGGUGCGCGUUGAAGGUUUAAGGCGUGAGCCUGACUGGAGCCACCGUUGGUGCAGAUCUUGGUGGUAGUAGCAAAUAUUCAAGUGAGAUCCUUGAAGACUGAAGUGAAAAAGGUUUCCACGUGAACAGCAGUUGAAUGUGGGUCAGUCGGUCCUAAGCAUACGGCGCUAGCCGUCACGAAAUAUGAGCGUUCAACUAUUUUCGAAUGGUACCUCAUUUUAUGCGAAAGGGAAGCAGGUUAAUAUUCCUGCACUAUACUUGGAGAUGUUCACUCCUUGUGAGUGUUCUGGGGCGGUAACGCAAAUGAACUCGCUAACGUUGCUGGAGGUUCGGGCCAGAGUUCUCUUUUCUGGUUUAGAAAUUGUGUCCAUGGAAUGGGUUCAGCCCGAGAUAUGGAUGUUGGUUUCGUAGAGCGCCGCGGUUCCUGCGGUGUCCCGAGUGCUUCCAGUGACCCUUGAAAAAGCGAGGGAACCCGAAUGAAUUUCAAGUAUAUCCGUACCGAAUCCGCAUCAGGUUUUCAAGGUGAACAGCCUCUAGUCGAUAGAAUAAUGUAGGUAAGGGAAGUCGGCAAAUUAGAUCCGUAACUUCGGGAAAAGGAUUAGCUCUAAGGAUUGGGUUGGACGGGCGGUUGCGCAAAACUUGGCCGACCGUGGUCAUGGCUGCGGGAUGCUUCGGCUGAACGCGGACUAGUGCUGCGGUUGCUUUGUGGAGUGCUUCAGCUUCGGUGCAAGUCUCGGCUUGUUCUCACGUCCAACAAUUAACAAUCGACUUAGAACUGACACGGACACGGGGAAUCCGACUGUCUAAUUAAAACAGAGCAGAUGGAUGGCGUUUGUAUGCGUUGACCAUCUGUGAUUUCUGCCCAGUGCUCUGAAUGUUAACUUAAGGAAACUUAAUUAAGCGCGGGUAAACGGCGGGAGUAACUAUGACUCUCUUAAGGUAGCCAAAUGCCUCGUCAUCUAAUUAGUGACGUGCACGAAUGGAUUAACGAGAUUCCCACUGUCCCUAUCUACUAUCUAGCGAAACCACAGCCAAGGGAACGGGCUUGGAAAACAUAGCGGGGAAAGAAGACCCUGUUGAGCUUGACUCUAGUCUGACUUUGUGAAGAAACAUGAGAGGUGUAGUAUAAGGGGGAGACUUCGGUCACCAGUGAAAUACCCCUACUUUCAUCGUUUCCUUACUUAUUUGGUUGAACGGUGAUUGGACGCAAGUCCUUUGUUUUGGAAUUAAGCCGGUGUACUUGGUACGCCGGUGAACCGCACUGAUGACAUUGUCAGGCGGGGAGUUUGACUGGGGCGGUACAUCUAUCAAAUCGUAACGUAGGUGUCCUAAGGUGAACUCAGAGAGGACGGAAACCUCUCGUUGACUAAAAGGAGAAAAGUUCACUUGAUUUUGAUUCUCAGUACGAAUACAGACCGCGAAAGCGUGGCCUAUCGAUCCUUUUGGAUUAUGGAGUAUAUAACAAGAGGUGUCAGAAAAGUUACCACAGGGAUAACUGGCUUGUGGCAGCCAAGCGUCCAUAGCGACGUUGCUUUUUGAUCCUUCGAUGUC